Long non-coding RNA from Columba livia (rock pigeon), 1098 nucleotides. RefSeq lists it as uncharacterized. The record is from RefSeq and is a predicted model, not a curated record. The transcript has 4 exons. NCBI's taxonomy places the organism in Eukaryota, Metazoa, Chordata, Aves, Columbiformes, Columbidae.
CCUCGCAUCAGCCAUGCUGAAGCUCCUGCUCACCGUGGGCAGAGAGCUACUGGUGCUCAAGUCCUACUGUGCUGCUCUCUCCCAGGAGCUGAGCCAGAUGAGAGAGAGCUCCAUCAGCCUCUUCAGAGACCUGAUGAAGAUGGUGGUGGAGAACCACAAGAGACAGAUGAAGGGCAUUGCACAAGCGAGCCUGCUCCCACUCUUCUUCCACAUGAGUGACCAAGUGUGGAGCGUGGCCAAGGCCGCCCAGGAAGCCCUCAUUGCCGCAGCAGAGCUGCUCAAGAGGAAACAGCUCCAACACCUGGCACAGACACAGCAGACGUGGCAGACUGGAGAGUAUUUGGUGAGGACAACCCCCAAAGCCCAGGGCCCAGGCUGAACGAGGGUUGCCCCAUAUGGCUGGGGUGCUGGGGGGUGGGCUCUGCAGAUGUGCCUCACCUGCCCUGCUGCAGCCCGGGGCUGCAUCCUUGUGCCCUGUCCUCAAAAACAGAACCUCCAAGGGCUCUUCUCUCUGCCCCUCUCCCCUCCCCACACCCAGCAGGAGGGAGGGCUCUCAGCACCCCUGGGACCCCUCUACUUGUGGCUCUGUCUCAGCCUCAGCCCCACAGGGCUCCUGGCUGGGAGGCAGGAAUGGGCUGGGAGGGUGAAGGGGAAUGUGGUUUGUUGGGGGAGGGACUGCUCUGGCCAAGAGGGGAGGGGCAGUGACAUGCUCACACCCUCGUACUCCCUCCAGCUGAAGCAGGACAGGAGGAGGGCUAAAGAGUUCUUGAAUCGGAGCCGGCCGUACCUGAAGAACGAACAGGCCAGCUUGCGAGAGGCAGCCGUGAGGUUCAUUGGGCUUGCUGCGCGGCACCUGAGGGACGCAAGCGAGGUGGAGCUGGCGGAGAUCUGCAGCGCCCUCCAGCCCUUGGAGACGGACAGCGAACCCUCCCUCUGCUGCCUGGCAGCUCAGACCAUUGCGAUCCUGAGCUCUUCGAGGAAGCAGCCAAGAUCACGAUGGAGCUUGCGAGCCCUGUGCUGCUGGCGCAGCUAAACCAGGCAGAGGAGCAGCUCUUCUUGGGGAAAACAGCUCGAUUUUAAUAAAGAGCCCUUCUUGAA